This 389-nucleotide ribosomal RNA is filed under the name uncultured bacterium. RNAcentral's name for it is "bacterial SSU rRNA". It matches the Rfam family "Bacterial small subunit ribosomal RNA", at positions 27 to 417 of the family's 1533-position model. The record is from RNAcentral.
GGACGAACGCUGGCGGCGUGCUUAACACAUGCAAGUCGAGCGGUAAGGCCCUUUCGGGGGUACACGAGCGGCGAACGGGUGAGUAACACGUGGGUGACCUGCCCUCAGCUCUGGGAUAAGCCUGGGAAACCGGGUCUAAUACUGGAUAUGACUCCAUGACGCAUGUUGUGGGGUGGAAAGCCUUGUGCGGCUGAGGAUGGGCCCGCGGCCUAUCAGCUUGUUGGUGGGGUGAUGGCCUACCAAGGCGACGACGGGUAGCCGGCCUGAGAGGGCGACCGGCCACACUGGGACUGAGACACGGCCCAGACUCCUACGGGAGGCAGCAGUGGGGAAUCUUGCGCAAUGGGCGAAAGCCUGACGCAGCGACGCCGCGUGAGGGAUGACGGCCU